RNAcentral lists this ribosomal RNA (23 nucleotides) under Rhadinocentrus ornatus. Its description in RNAcentral is "partial 12S small subunit ribosomal RNA". The record is from RNAcentral. Lineage: Eukaryota; Metazoa; Chordata; Actinopteri; Atheriniformes; Melanotaeniidae.
GGAAGGUGCACUUGGAUAAAUAU